Molecule: ribosomal RNA, 253 nt
Filed under: uncultured bacterium
Lineage: Bacteria
Description: partial 16S ribosomal RNA
Rfam family: Bacterial small subunit ribosomal RNA
Source: RNAcentral
UACGUAGGGUGCAAGCGUUGUCCGGAAUUAUUGGGCGUAAAGAGCUCGUAGGCGGUUUGUCGCGUCUGCUGUGAAAACGCGAGGCUCAACCUCGCGCCUGCAGUGGGUACGGGCAGACUAGAGUGCGGUAGGGGAGAUUGGAAUUCCUGGUGUAGCGGUGGAAUGCGCAGAUAUCAGGAGGAACACCGGUGGCGAAGGCGGGUCUCUGGGCCGAUACUGACGCUGAGGAGCGAAAGCAUGGGUAGCGAACAGG